CAGAUUAAUCUUAAUAGUUAAGUAUUUUAUUUACACUAAAAUUUUAGUUGUGCAAUUCAACAUAGUCUGA
Molecule: transfer RNA, 70 nt
Filed under: Ectobiidae sp. Z140
Lineage: Eukaryota; Metazoa; Arthropoda; Insecta; Blattodea; Ectobiidae
Description: tRNA-Val
Source: RNAcentral